RNAcentral lists this long non-coding RNA (8749 nucleotides) under Homo sapiens (human). RNAcentral describes it as "HSALNT0370560". The record is from RNAcentral. Lineage: Eukaryota; Metazoa; Chordata; Mammalia; Primates; Hominidae.
GUGCAGCCCUGACCCAAGACGUCGGCCCCCAGAUGGGGACAGUUCAGUGUCCUGGGAGCAGCCCCCGGCUGAUAGUGUUCCAUCCUGGGACUGGAGGCGCCAGCAGGGCUUUCCAGCAGGGCAGCCCAAAACCAUGCCUUCUGAUAGACCCCUCCCUUGCUGACUUGAAGCUCCACCAUGAGACUUGCUUUGACCAAUGGGGCAAGUAGCAAACUUGGCACAAGAGGCUUUGAAUAAACUCUUCCUCUCUGGCUCCUCUGCCUCACCCAUGAAAAGAUGCCUAGCCUGGCCAUUUGGAGGAUGAGAGAGCACUGAGUCAGUUCAGCCUGAAGCCAGGCCAGACAAGGAGACAGCUCUGAGAUACAGAAGAGUCCAGCCAAGAUCUGCAAAGCCACCUCAUUAACCUGCAGCUGAGGGCAGAGGCGUGAAUGAGCAACCUGGACAAAGACUGCCCACCUCACCUACAGACUCCUGAGCUAAAUAAGCAUGUAAUGUUUUAAGCCACUGAGUCUUGUGAUUGUUCAUUAAGCAGCAACAGAUAACUAAUACAAGAUGGAACUGGCAGAGCUUGUGUAUGUAACAGGUAUUUAAGUCUACGACUUUUCCUCUAGGCAUAGCUUUAGCUGUCAUCAGAACCAUGAAUGUUUCUAUUACUGCUGUUUUUAGUAGAUAUUAUGCAAUUUCAGUGUAUUUUUUGACUCAAGUUCUUUGAGAGUUUUAAUUUAUAAGAGCUUUUCUUUCCCCUGUUUUGAUACAAAUUUCUACUUUUAUUGCAUGUAGUCAAAGGAUGUAAUCAAUAUUAUUUCCUCUUUCUGGAAUGUAUUGAGGUUUUCUUUGGUAGCCUUAUAGAUGGUGCUCUUUUAUACAUGUUCCCAUGAUUGUUUGAAAGGAGGUACAUUACAUUCUAUGUUUACAGCAAAGAAUCUGAUUCCUGAAGGCAGAAAAUAUACAUGUACACUUCACAAUGGUGGAUCCCAAACUGGGAUACAGACAAAUGGCAGGGGUGGGUUAUAUUUGCAUUCUCACACUGAUAUAAAGAAAUACCUGAGACUGGGUAAUUCAUAAAGAAAAGAGGUUUUAAUUGGUUCAUGGUUCCAUGGGCUAUACAGGAAGCAUAGCAGCUUCUGCUCCUGGGGAGGCCUCAAGAAACUUACAAUCAUGGCAGAAGGUGAAGGGGAGGCAGGCACAUCUUACGUGGCCAGAGCAGGAGGAAGAGAGAGAGGGGGAAGGUGUUACAUGCUUUUUUCUCUUUCUUUUUUUUUUUUUCUGAGAUGGAGUCUCACUCGGUCGCCCAGGUCAGAGGGCAGUGGUGUGAUCUUGGCUCACUGCAACCUCCUCCUCCCGGGUUCAAGCAAUUCUCCUGCCUCAGCCUCCCGAGAAGCUGGGACUACAGGCAUGAGCCACCACGCCCAGUUAAUUUUUGUAUUUUUAGUAGAGACGGGGUUUCACCUUGUUGGCCAGGAUGGUCUUGAUCUCUUGACCUCGUGAUCUGCCCACCUCGGCCUCCAAAAGUGCUGGGAUUACAGGCAAGAGCCACCACGCACUUUUAAACAACCAGAUCUCAUGAGAACUCACUCAGUAUCAUGAGAACGGCACCCAGGGAGACGGUGUUAAAGCAUUCAUGAGAAACCGCUCCCAUGAUUCAAUCACCUCCUACCAGGCCCCACACUGGGGAUUAUUAUUUGACAUGAGACUUGGGGGACACAAAUCCAAACCAUAUCAUGGGGGUAGGGGAGAAGGUGCCUGGUUCAAUACAGAGUCUUAAGACUCCACCUCAUUAGUAUUAAUUCAUUUGGUACAAGGAGGGCCUGGUAAUUGGGAUUUUACCCCCUUCCAUCCCAACCAUAGCCAGGUUCCUAUGAACCAAAGAAAGUCACUGACUGUUCUUUGAAUAACAUUAUGCUUUAUCUUUGAUUGUUUAUUGCUUUCGUAGACAGAGAAAGGGCCCUUAAAGUCUCUUGACUCCUCCCACUAAUAGCCUUGUGAAUUUGGGCAAGGCAUGCCAUCUCUCUGCACCGGUUUCACUUGUCAAAUGGGGACAACAACCCCAUCAAUUCUGGCUGUCGUGAGAACUCCCUGGCUUAUAGUGCCUGGCCCAGAGUAAGGCUCAGUAAUUGUGACCACUGCUGCUAUGAUGGCCUUGGAUUCCCGUGUUUGUUCGUUAGGUUCCGAUGCCGGAACUGGCUUUCAGGCCUCUGCUUAAAAGACAAUGACCUUCUGUCUCUUGCAAUGAGUUAGCAUUUACAGUUGAAAUGGGGCUCAGCACCCACCCACGUAGUCAGUCUUCAGCAAACCAGACAUGUUUCUAGAUUUUAUAUACAUAUGAUGUAAGCUCACUCAUUAAGCAAAUAUUCUUUAGCUCAGACUAUGUGUCCUGUGCUGUGCGGCUGCAAGUCAUGGUCCCGCCUGAAGGUAGCCUUGCCCUCAGCUGAACCCUGUCCCCGAGAUGCCUUCUCUACCUAUUCCCAUUCCCUGCAACUCACUCCAGGCCCCCUGGAGUGGUACCUGCCCCACUCUCAGGAACAUGCUUUGAAGUUAUGCUUUCAUAGUUCCAGAGUCCACAAGUCUGAAAUCCAGGUGUGAGCACGGCUAUGCUCCCCUGGAGGCUCUAGAGGAUACUUCCUCGGCCCUUCCAGCUUCUGGUGGCUCCUGGCGUUCCUGGCCUUGGCUGCCUCGCUCUGGCCUCUGCCUUCUCUACCCAUCAUCAGAACCUACCCACUCUGCUACAACCACGGCUUCAAAGUCAGCCAGGGAGAGAACAGGUCGGGCUUCGUGGGGUGAGGGUGUUGUUUCUGCAGAGGUGGUGGAGGGCCGGCCACAAGGUUAUCUAUAAAAGUAACCAGAAGGUCCGCUAGAGGAAUGCUUUUCCUGGGAGUGUGGGCUGCGGGGGCGUGUCCCUGAGUGUCAGGGUGUGGAGGGAGAGGAGGUGGCAGCUUCACAGGCAGCUGGGCAUGGCUGCUCUCCUGCUCUUGGACCUUCAGGGGCUCUCUGCUGCCCUCAGGGUAAGUCCACCUCUCAGGGUAACCCCUACUCACCUCCUGGGACACAGUUUAGAAGCCACGUCUUUUGGGAAGCCCUCCCCACCCUUCCUUUGGACACCUGCCCCACUUCUCCUUUGGCACCAUGACCACCUGUUACUUAGCCAUCUCCCAACAGACUGUGAACUUUCACAGCAGCAGUGAGCCUACUGUGUUGUAUGUUUGUUUGUUUUUGAGGCAGAGUCUCGCUCUGUCGCCCAGGCUGGAGUGCAGUGGUGCCAUCUCAGCUCAUUGCAACCUCCACCUCCCGGGCUCAAGUGAUUCUCGUGCCUCCUGAGUAGCUGGGACUACAGGCGCCCGCCUCAUACAAAAAAUGCCCAGCUCAUUUUUUGUAUUUUUAGUAGAGACGGGGUUUUGCCAUGUUGGCUAGACUGGUCUUGAACUCCUGACCUCAAGUGAUCCACCCGCCUCAACCUCCCAAACUGCUGGGAUUACAGGCGUGAGCCACAGCACCCAGCUAAGUUAUGUAUUUUAGUAGAGAUGGGGUUUCACCAUGUUGGCCAAGCUGGUCUCAAACUCCUGACCUCAAGUGAUCUGCCCGCCUCAGCCUCUCAAAGUGCUGGGAUUAUAGGCAUGAGUCACCGGGCCUGGCUGAUCCUGUUGUGUUGAUUGCUGGAUCCCUGGCCGCCAGUUCAGGGCUGGCCAAUAGGAGGUGCUCAUUAAAUGCUUGUAGAGCAAGGAAAGGGGACUCAGAUGGUCUGCAGAGGGUUGAAUGGUGACCUCCCCCAAAAUAUACGUCCACCUGGAACCUGUAAAUAUGACCUUAUUUGGGAAAAAAGGGUCUUUGUACAUAUAACUAACGAUCUUGAGAUGAGAUUAUAGGUGCCAACUGUCCUCAGAAAAGAAAGGCAGGCUGGGCGUGGUGGCUCAGGCCUGUAAUCCCAACACUUUGGGAAGCUGAGGCGGGUGGAUCACCUGAGGCCAGGAGUUCAAGAUCAGCCUGGCCAAUGGUGAAACCUUGUCUCUACUAAAAAUACAAAAAUUAGUUGGGCGUGGUGGCGGGCACCUGUAAUCUCAGCUACUCGGGAGGCAGAGGUUUCAGCGAGCCGAGAUCGUGCCAUUGCACUCCAGCGUGGGUGAGGGAGCAAGACUGUCUCAAAAAUAAGUUGAGCAAGGAUCCUCCCCUAGAGCCUUCGGAGGGAGCACGGCCCUGCCCACACCUGGAUUUCAGACCUGUGGACUCCGGAACUGUGAGAGCACAACUUUCUGUUGCUUUAAGCCCCCCAGUUUGAGGUAUUUUGUUACAGCAAUCACAGGAAUUAACAUACUGCCCUAUCAGAGAAAGCCUUUCUGAAGAUCUGCGGAAAAGAAGGACGUUAGGGAAAAGCCAGCCUCUGUGUAGGUAACACUCCGAGGGUGCACUUGGUCAGACACGAGUGAAUCUACACAUGGGGCAAACUUGAUGCCUUAUUCCCCCAGCCCCCAAAAUUGGCAUUUUGUCUUAAUGUGUAAGCAACAAGAUCCACAUGUUACUUUGGAGUUUUUCACUGACAACCAGCACUAGUGUCUAACACAGUGGGUUAAGAAAAGUGGGUUAACUUUUCUUGGUUUAAGAAUGUGAUGAGGCCAGGCAUAGUGGCUCACACCUGUAAUGCCAGAACUUUGGGAAGCCACGGCAGGAGGACUGCUUGAGCCCAGGAGUUUGAGGCCAGCCUGGGCAACAUAGGGAGACCCCUUCCCUAAAAAAAAUUAAAAAAUUAGCCGAGCAUGGUGGUGCAUGCCUGUAGUCCCAGCUACUCAGAAGGCUGAGGCAAGAGGAUGACUUGAGCCUGGGAGGUUGAGGCUGCAGUAAGCCAUGAUCACACUACUGCACUCCGGCCUGGGUGACACAGCAAGACCCUGUCUCAAAAAAAAAAAAAAAAGAAAAAAGAAAAAAAAAAACCCCAAAAAUCUGAUGAACACAUUAGAUUCAUGAGUCUUUUUCUUUUUUCUUUAAAAUACUUUAAGUUCUGGGAUACAUAUGCAGAAAGUGCAGGUUUGUCACAUAGGCAUACAUGUGCCAUGGUGGUUUGCUGCACCCAUCAACCCACCAUCUACAUUAGGUAUUUCUCCUAAUGCUAUCCCUCCCUUAGCCCUCCACCCCCAACAGGUCCCGGUGUGUGAUGUUCCCUUCCCUGUGUCCAUGUGUCCUCAUUGGUCAACUCCCACUUAUGAGUGAGAACAUGUGGUGUUUGGUUUUCUGUUCCUGUGUUAUUUGGCUGAGAAUGCUGGUUUCCAGCUUCAUCCAUGUCCCUGCAAAGGACAUGAACUCAUUCUUUUUUACGGCUGUGAUACAUGAGUCUUUAAACAAUGCUUAUGUGGGGUUAGGUUCUAACGUCAGCUCAAAAGGUGGAAAUCAAGGACAGUCAAAUUGACCUUGAAAAUGCCCUGGGAAGACCCCAGGCAGCACCCAACGAUCAGUGGCUGAGGCUGCUGGCUGCCCCCAGCAUUUGUUUUCCCGCUUCCUGUAGAAGGAGGGGCUGUAUGUUUUGGGGAGCAUAUGGCUGCCCAAGAGAAAGACCAUUUCCCAGCAUCUCUUGCAGCUAGGCUCAACCAGGUGACCAUAUUCUGGUCAAAGUGACAUGAGAAUGCACAGGCUGUGUCCUUGAAGGGCAGGGCAAGCCCUCUUUUUCCUCCCCACUCCCAGUGACUGGGUGAUGGCAGCACAGCGGGGUGCUGUCUGGGCCAUGGAGGCGUGUCAGAGUGACAGUUCAGAGGGGCUGGGCCCCUGCUGCUGUCAGACCAGGCCUGUUCACCUUCCAACUGUCAUGUGACAGAAAUCCACCUCCAUCUCAUUUAAGCCCACUAAUGUCUGGGUCUGUCACAGGAACCAACACAUUCCCUGACCUAUAUACACUGUUGCUCUGGGAGGCGAACACAGCAGGCUGUCCCCCAGCACUGGGGCAGCUGCUGUUCUUUGGUUGAGCAUUGGGUGAAGUUGUUGACUUGUGUUCAGGGUUCACAAAAUACCUCGCAGCUCACAAAGACUGCAGUGAGAUGCUUACACUAUGAGGGUUGGGCAAUUGAGCCUAGGAAUAUAAAAUCCUGGGAGGUGGAGGGGUUAAGGGUGCCGGACUCCUCAGCCCCACAUCUCAGCAUCUCUGGGGAAUGCAGUCUGAGAAUCGUUCAUGGGACGCAGUGUUUCCUGCUAUCCCUUGCACGGACUGCCACAUAUCCAGCUUCCUGUCCUCUUCCACAAAGCCAGAGGGGAAGGAGAGGAGGGUCUUUGACUGUGGAGCCACAGCCUGGGAAAAGGGACUGCCUUCUUUCUGGAACAUCGGCCACGGGCUGCUCCCCUCCUUUCCUGGAGCCUCAGUUUCCUCAUCUGUGCCAUGGCAGUGACAGCCCCUGCCUAGUGACUCAGCUCCCACCUGCGAAAGUGCUUUGUAAACUGCAGGUGUACAAGGUGGCAGCGAUGUUAUCGCCUGGAAUCUUUUUGGGGACCAGGAGAAGGGAGGGCUCCUGACAGUUUCCAGGAAAGGCAGGAGCAGCUGCUAUCCAGAAAUCUGCACAACAAAAUGUCUGCUAUUGGCCUAAGCCCAAGGAUGGGACAUGGUGGCCCCAGUGGACCGCUUCCAUGAAAUCUGCAAUUAUGGGGAAGUGGGGCUUAUUAAGGAAGCUGGAGGGGAAUGCGGCCCUGGCUUCUAGCAAUGCUAUAAUUAGAUUGCAGGGCCCCUUUUACUUUGCUGACGAUCCAGAAGGCCUUGGCCCGGGGCUUGUGCUGAAAUACCCUGGCCUCCUGGGCAGCGGGUGAUGGCCCAAGCCUGUCGGGGUGCAGAAGGACACUGCCUUUAUGUUGGGGGGAUGGGGUAACAACAGCUGAGGCUUGUGUAGUGCUCAUGUGGGGCCGGCGCCAUUCUCAGCCUUCACUUCAUCCUGGCAUCUGCAGGAGUCUGUCCUGUUCUCGGUUCACAGGUGAGAACACAGGCACAGAGAGGUCAAGGAGGUUGCUCAAGGUCACAUUGUGGCUAAGUGGCAAAGUAGUAAAGAAGGGGUAUGAAUGAUUGAAAUCAGGGGUCGCCAAACCACAGCUCGUUUUUCUUUUUCCUGCUACUGUUGCCUGGUCUUGUCAAUAAAGUUUUACUCAGCACAUGUGCCGAGGCAGCAUAGCAGAGGUGAAAGAGCCGGAACGGGGAAUUCUGCCACAGUGUGACCUUGUAGAAGACACUCUGGGCUUUCUAAUCUGUAAAAUGAUGGGGGUUUGCUUUAGAUCGGGGUCACUGCACUUGAUGCAAAGGGCCAGAUGGUAAAUAUUUUAGGCUUUGCAGGUCAUAAGGUCUCUGUUGCUACUCAACUCUGUUACAUGCAGCAACUAUUGACAAUAUGUAAACUAAUGGGCAUGGCUGUAUUCCAAUAAAACUUUAUUCACAAAACCAGGCAACAGCAGCACAAAAAAAAAAAAAAAAAAAGAGGGCCAUGGUUUGCCAACCCCUGAUUUUGAUCAUUCACGUCGCUUCUUUACUACUUUGCCUCACGAAAUUCAUGUUUUUAAUACUUUUCUUUAUACGAAUUCACCGGUAUUCCUUAGAGCUUAGCAACACCAUAGGUUUGAUGACCUAAACAAAUACAGGUUUGUAUUUGUGGCAUACAUGUGAAAAUAAACUUGUGAGUUAAAAAUUAAAAAGAAAAGUGUGUGGGCCACCUAAACCAUCUCCUGAAGCACAGAGGUCCGUGCUCUGUGCUUUGGGAGACAUUUUUUAGUUCAAUAUAUUUUUUUUCGAGAUGGAGUCUCACUCUGUUGUCCAGGCUGGAGAGCAGUGGCACGAUCUCGGCUCACUGCAACCUCUACCUCCCGGGUUCAAGUGAUUCUCCUGCCUCAGCCUCCCGAGUAGCUGGGACUACAGGCACGUGCCACCAUGCCCGGCUAAUUUUUUAUAUUUUUAGUAGAGAUGGGGUUUCACCAUGUUAGCCAGGAUGGUCUCCAUCUCCUGACUUUGCGAUGACCCACCUUGGCCUCCCAAAGUGCUGGGAUUACAGGCGUAAGCCACCGCGCCAGGCCUAGGUCAGUGUUUUUCAAAUCACUGAGGUGUUGAGGGGGAAGAGGAGUCUGGGUGGGGGAGGUCAGGCCUGUACCCUGACUUGGAACAAAGCAGUUUUGCUUAAUCUGUUUAAGACAUUUGUUUGGGAAACGGGUUCUGGGGCCAAAGGAGUUUGGAACCAUCUAGAAGUGGCUUCAAAAUGAACUUGAGGCCUGUGCAGUGGCUCAUGCCUGUAAUCCCAGCACUUUGGGAGGACGAGGCAGGAGGAUUAUCUGAGGUCAGGAGUUCAUGACCAGUCUGGCCAACAUGGCAAAACCUCACCUCUACUAAAGAUACAAAACUUAGCCAGGCAUAGUGGUGCAUGCCUGUAAUCUCAGCUACUUGGGAGGAUGAAGUGGGAGGACUGCUUGAACCCAGAGAGGCAGGGGCUGCAGUGAGCCAAGAUCGCGCCACUGCACUCCAGGCUGGGCGACAGAGUGAGACUCCAUCUCAAAAAAAAAAAAAAUAAAAUAAAAAAAUUAACUUGAAGCAUUGAAGCUAUGAGAUUUCCCAGGUCUGUCUACACGGGGCUGUUAGUUCCCAUGCUGACUCUUAGAUUUCUUUUUUUUUCCCUUUUUUUUUGGGAGACAGCAUCUCACUCCAUUGCCCAGGCUGGAGUGCGAUGGUGUGAUCAUGGCUCACUGCAGCCUCGACCUCCUGGGCUCAAGUGAUCCUCCCACCUCAGCCUCCUGAGUAGCUGGGACCACAGGCCCA